Molecule: long non-coding RNA, 3228 nt
Organism: Lotus japonicus
Lineage: Eukaryota; Viridiplantae; Streptophyta; Magnoliopsida; Fabales; Fabaceae
Exons: 2
Source: RefSeq, a predicted model, not a curated record
UUCCCACCCGUUGCAUAUCCAUUCGUGGCAAAUACUAAUAAGCUGUGGUUUUCCAUUUUAAACCACCUUUCUUUGAUAACUGUCGCUUGAACAGGCCACAAUUUCAUCAAGAAGGUUAGGGUCAUGGCUUAUUUUUUGUUGCGGUUUAUCAACCGUAGAGGUAUUUCCUGAUGCCACACUUUGCAAUUGUUGCUUAUGCCACAAAAGCUAGAGAUCUUAUAGAACACGCUGUUUAGGAGAGGGAUCUUCCUCUUCUAUGCAAAUUUUCUCUCUCUGUGUGCGUGAAGGUGAUGAAGGCAAUGAUUUUAUUUUACAAAAAAAUUUGUGUGUGUGAAGGUUACAAGUUAGAGGAGAGAGAAAACGAGGGACAAGCAGUUUAAUGUAGUUGUUGAGUGCAUUAACUGCGUGAAAGUUGUACAAAUAUGAUUUUUCUCUUCCCAAUUAAGCAUAACCUGCAUAAUGAUUAGAGUUUUUUGGUAGAUGAAAAAUCGUAAGAGAGGAAAUUCACUAGCACAAAAUGGUUAAAGGGCCUAUAUAUUGCUAAUAGGGGGGCCUUCUAUUAAAACUAGAGUUUGCCAAGGCGUAUGACAACAUCGUGUGGGAUUUUCUUUACAACACAUUGCGUCUGAUGGGAUUUGGUAAGCGGUGCAUUUCUUGGAUGCAAGCUUGUGUGUCCACAACUACCUUAGCAGUGCUUGUUAAUGGCUCUCCCACUGACUACUUUUCCAUUGAGAAGGAGCUUAGGCAGGGAGACCCAUUAUUUCCUCUCUUGUUCAACAUUAGUGUUAAUGUGUUUUCCUGCAUGCUUAAUCUACUUGAAGAGGAGAUACCUUGCGGUUUUCAUGUGGGGCAAGGGUUUUCCAUCAAUCAUCUACAGUUCGCGGACGACACUCUCAUCUUUUGUGAUGUGAGGAGAAUCAGUUGGAAAGAAUAAAUAUGGCCUUGGAGAUAUUUCUUUGGAUGUCGGGUUUGAAAGUAAACUUCUCUAAAUCGAAGCUGAUUGGGUGUAAUGUGGAAGAGAUAAGGGUUCAGGCCCUAGAUGAUCUCUAUAACCUUAGUGUGGGGAACCUUCCUAUUGAAUAUUUAGGAGCACGGCUAGGAGGAAACCCAAAAAAGGAAGUAGUUUUGGGGGGUUGUGAUUUAGAAAAUGAGGGAAAAAUUGCUAGGCUGGGGAUCCAACUAUUUCUCAUUGAGUGGAAGACUAGUCAUGCUAAAGUGAGUCAUCUCGGCAAUUCCGGUCUAUUAUAUGUCGAUCUUCAAAGCACCGGCGGGUGUGAUCGAGGAAUUUGAAAAACUAAUGCGGAGCUUCCUUUGUGGUAAUAGAUCCGCUCAAUGUCGCAUACCGUAGGUGGCUUGGGAACAAAUUUGUAAGAGCAAAAAACUAGGAGGACUUGGCCUUGGUUUCUUGGGUUGGAGAAACAAAGCCCUUAUUUUAAAAUGGGCAUGUCGCUUUGGGAAAGAACCGAACUCUUUAUGGCGAAAGCUUUUGUGCAAGAAAUACAAGUGGGAUGAAAGAUUCCUUUGUCUUCAUUUAUUGAUUGAUAGAUGUGAAGGCCUAUCCUAUGUGACUCAAGACAUUGUGAACUCGUUGAAAGUAGAUUCAAUCAUAGCAAAAUUGACGCGGGGAAAGCUCUUGUGUAAGGUUGGGCAGGGCUCUCGUGUUCGCUUUUGGCUUGAUCCUUCGCUGGAAACAACUCUUCAAUUGCGCUUCCCACGCAUGUUACACUAGCAGUUAACAAGGCUGAAAUUGUGAAUGAAGCUGGCUUUUUUGCUUCCCGCAAGUGGACAUGGACCAUUGAAUUUAGGAGGUAGUGCUUUGGGUGGGAGCUUGAUGAGGAGGUGCGUUUUAAAGCUUUGAUUCAGUAAAGUCUACCAAUUAAGGGGGAAGAUACUCUCAUGUGGAUAGGGGAUCGAAACUGUUAUUUUACAGUUAAGUGCCUAUUAUCUCAGGUGGAGAAUCAAAUCUUAGGCCCAGAGGCGUGGAUCAUCCCUAAGAAACUUCAACAAGUUGUUCCUCCUAAAGUUUCUAUCUUCUUGUGGCAAGCCUCAGUAAACAAGAUUGGAGUAAAGCCAAAUUACUUGUUAGAGGGGUGAAUAUUGAGAACGAGGGUCAAUGUAGCAUUUGUGGGUUAUUGGUAGAACCCACAGAUCAUCUAGUGUUACAUUGUGUUUUCUCUUGGAGAAUUUGGUCUGCCAUUUUGUCAAGAGAAAGGAACCAGUUGGUGCUGCCCCAAGAAGGUACAUGAUUUAAUCCUUGAUUGGGCUCAAUUACGAGCAGUGUCUGAUUCAAUUCUUUGGGAUCUAAUACCUUACUUUGUCUGCUGGUCCUUAUGGAUAGAAAGAAACAAAGUUGUUUUUCAAAAUGAACAAUUUUCUGCAGAGGUUGUGAGAUUGGCAUAUGACUAGAAUUAUGGGUUGGGUAAAGGCUUGGUGGACUGAUUGUCCCUAUUCCUCUACUGAUUUUGUCUGCAAUUUUACACACCUUCGACUGUUUGUUACAAAAGAUAAAGCUCGUUCCAAGAUAUGGUAUCCACCACCGGAGGGUUUGCUCAAGUUCAAUGUGGAUGGCUCUUUGCUUGGCAACCCAGGGCUGAGUGGCUUUGGUGGCAGUUUGAGGGACUCCAGUAGGCGCCAUAGAGGCCUAUUCUCUCUACCUGUUGGGGAUCUUUGGGCCUUUGAAGCAGAACUUAAAGCAAUUUGUAUACUUUAAAAUUCUGCAAGGAAUUUCAUUUGCAGCAUAUUAUUGUGAAGAGCGAUUCUGCCCUGGCUGUUGGUUGGGUAUCAAACAAAGAAAAUCGCUCCUCGAAGUUACUAAAUGAUCUUAUUCUGAUUGAUAUGCUUAUGGAAGAUGUUGAUUGUGUUGGUGUUUUCCAUGUCUGUAGGGAAUUCAAUGUCUUGGCUGAUUACUUGGCGAAAACUAGUUGCCACAGAAGAAAUAAUAUAUGGGUUGUACUAUGAAUUCUCACCAGACCUGGUAGUGCUGCGUGUUGUGUCUGCUGCUACUAUCCACGAUUCCCUUCUCUUUUUUUUUUCAUUGUUGUCGUUUGUUUUCUCUUUUCAUUGCCGUUACUGUUUUGUCUUUUAAAUCUGUUAUGUGCCUUACAGCAUCUACAAUGCAAGGUUGCUAGUUUGGUUGCUUAAACACUAUUCUGAUGGACCCAGACUGUCACAUAAGAUUUAAGCAACUCAAACAAAAUUCGCUUCAACCACGAUUGUUUAUUUUACUUU